GAUGAUACAAUCACUUUUCAUGAAAUAUUAUAAUUGUGCUUUAUAAAUUUAUUUCAGCAUCAUAUAUUUACUUAUUAAUAUAUAAAUGUAAUAAAAGUAAAAAUUAUAAUAAUUUAUCAUAAUUUUAAGAAACUAAACCCGUUAAAAAAUAUAUUCUAUAACAAUUAUAAUUUAAUAAAAUAUGUUUCUAAGUAAUUUUAUAUUCCAAAAUAACCAAACAAAAUAAUCUCACGUUAAUAUUCAGUAAUUUUACAAGAUAUAAUUUUAGGAUCACAAUUACCUUCUUUCCAUGUUUGGAAAUAAGUGAAGAUGGGUGGCUGAACCAAGAAGAGCGGGGACGAGGUUGUUGGCAAGUCCGAUAUACAUAUUACGGCCACCUAUCAAUGACUCUAGGAUAGAAUGUUUUGUCAACAGUUAUGUUAGUGACUCGUGGAUCAUAUCCUGCACCAUUGGCGCGGGGUCUCUUAGGUUGAGGAGCCUCAAUUGCUCUCUUCUUCUCUGCCCUGGCUUUCUCCAACAGGGAACUCGCUUCUGAAGAGGAUCAAUAGGAUAUAACAGAAUCAGUGUAUAAAUUCAUUACAAGAAUGAUAAUAAUGCAAAUUUGUAUAAAUUACAAGUAAAAUUAAUGGUUUCUAGUACUUUAUCUGAUAGCCACUUACAGUGAUUUUACAAGCUUCAAAUUCACAGAGAGACAAGAUUAGACUCUAAAAACUACAUCAGCAAAAAUCACUAAACCCUAAAAAGAUGAACAGAAUCGGUCAGAACUCAGAACGAUGAAAUUUUCAGUUUCACUGCCGACCCUCCCCAAAAACAAAUUUGGAGGAAAUUUUCUUUCAGCAAAAAGAAAAAGUAAGAACAAAAGAAAGCCCCAAUCCAAGAAAAAAGAGUGAAAAUGAAAGCAAAAGAAAGGUACAGAAAUGAAGAGAGAAAAAUGACUGAUUAAAUUCAAGGGAAACUGAGUGACAAGGUGACUUAAAUCGAUAGAUAUUCGAAUUAUUGUUUUCUGGAGCACUCUCAUUUUUGCUAUUGGACGUCAAGGAAAGAAAAAUACCUUAUCUUCGUUGUAAAGUGAACUCCAAGUGAUUUCGUCUUAGUGAUAUUCAGGACUGCUCUUGAAGUUGUGCCACGUCUGAUCUAGACACAGACUUGAAGCAUGUUUAGAGGAUAUAACAGAGAUGAGGUUUACUUUUAAUCUCUUCUUUGUUACACUUUUUUUACGAUUCAUGCUACUUAACGAUUUUUU
This 1243-nucleotide long non-coding RNA is filed under the name Gossypium barbadense (sea-island cotton). RNAcentral's name for it is "long non-coding RNA (GBAR_LNC020662)". Lineage: Eukaryota; Viridiplantae; Streptophyta; Magnoliopsida; Malvales; Malvaceae. The record is from RNAcentral.